RNAcentral lists this long non-coding RNA (286 nucleotides) under Capsicum annuum. RNAcentral describes it as "long non-coding RNA (CANN_LNC001608)". Lineage: Eukaryota; Viridiplantae; Streptophyta; Magnoliopsida; Solanales; Solanaceae. The record is from RNAcentral.
CCGGGGUCAACCAAAUCUUUAAUAAGGUCUAUCAUUGAGUUCAUUCCUUCUUCAGCAAUGUUUCAGUCAGAUUUAAUACUUAAUAAUCUAAUAGCAACAGACAAACGAGAGUGCGAACACUCAUCAAACACAGAAUGACUAGCAGCAUACAAUUCUUUGUAGAAAUUGCCCGCUUCACUAUUAGGAAAAUCUUCAACAUUUUCUCUAAACUCAACCCCAUGUUGUAUCCCAAAAGCAUCGUGCACUAUUUCUGUCAUCCUAGUAUCUUGAUAUUCACUAUGCCCUG